Molecule: ribosomal RNA, 460 nt
Filed under: uncultured bacterium
Lineage: Bacteria
Description: partial 16S ribosomal RNA
Rfam family: Bacterial small subunit ribosomal RNA
Source: RNAcentral
CCUACGGGCGGCAGCAGUGAGGAAUAUUGGUCAAUGGACGAGAGUCUGAACCAGCCAAGUAGCGUGAAGGAUGACUGCCCUAUGGGUUGUAAACUUCUUUUAUAUGGGAAUAAAAUGUUCCACGUGUGGGAUUUUGUAUGUACCAUAUGAAUAAGGAUCGGCUAACUCCGUGCCAGCAGCCGCGGUAAUACGGAGGAUCCGAGCGUUAUCCGGAUUUAUUGGGUUUAAAGGGAGCGUAGGUGGAUUGUUAAGUCAGUUGUGAAAGUUUGCGGCUCAACCGUAAAAUUGCAGUUGAAACUGGCAGUCUUGAGUACAGUAGAGGUGGGCGGAAUUCGUGGUGUAGCGGUGAAAUGGUUAGAUAUCACGAAGAACUCCGAUUGCGAAGGCAGUUCACUGGACUGCAACUGACACUGAGGCUCGAAAGUGUGGGUAUCAAACAGGAUUAGAUACCCCUGUAGUC